RNAcentral lists this signal recognition particle RNA (148 nucleotides) under Nomascus leucogenys (northern white-cheeked gibbon). RNAcentral describes it as "Metazoan signal recognition particle RNA". It matches the Rfam family "Metazoan signal recognition particle RNA". From Rfam's summary of the family: The signal recognition particle (SRP) is a universally conserved ribonucleoprotein. It is involved in the co-translational targeting of proteins to membranes. Lineage: Eukaryota; Metazoa; Chordata; Mammalia; Primates; Hylobatidae. The record is from Rfam by way of RNAcentral.
GCCGGGUGUGGCCAUGCACACCUGUAGUCCCAGCUACCUGGGAGGCUGAGAUGGGAGGAUCACCUGAGCCCAGGAGGUCAAGGUUGCAGUGAGCCAUGAUCAUGCCACUGCACUCCAGCCUGGGCAACAGAGUGAGACCCUGUCUCCA